GGGCCCGCACAAGCGGAGGAGCAUGUGGUUUAAUUCGAUGAUACGCGAGGAACCUUACCUGGGCUUGAAAGUUAGUGACCGCUCCUGAAAGGGAGCCUUCAGCAAUGACACGAAACUAGGUGCUGCAUGGCUGUCGUCAGCUCGUGCCGUGAGGUGUUGGGUUAAGUCCCGUAACGAGCGCAACCCCUAUCAUUAGUUGCCAUCAGGUAAAGCUGGGGACUCUAAUGAGACUGCCCGCGCAAGCGGUGAGGAAGGUGGGGAUGACGUCAAGUCAUCACGGCCCUUACGUCCAGGGCUACACACGUGCUACAAUGGUAGAUACAGCAGGUUGCCACAUGGUAACAUGGAGCUAAUCCCUAAAGUCUAUCUCAGUUCGGAUUGAGGUCUGCAACUCGACCUCAUGAAGCUGGAUUCGCUAGUAAUCGGAAAUCAGCAAUGUUCCGGUGAAUACGUUCCCGGGCCUU
This 464-nucleotide ribosomal RNA is filed under the name uncultured bacterium. RNAcentral describes it as "bacterial SSU rRNA". It matches the Rfam family "Bacterial small subunit ribosomal RNA", at positions 917 to 1382 of the family's 1533-position model. The record is from RNAcentral.